GUGUAUAAUAACAGAGAAGUUUAAUCUUUCUUGCUGGAUACUCUUACUGAGGUGGGUGAGGAAGCCCCUGACUCACAGAUAGCAAAUGGGCUCUUUUUAUAUAGCAAUCACUCACUUAAG
Tinamus guttatus (white-throated tinamou) is the source of this 120-nucleotide non-coding RNA. NCBI's taxonomy places the organism in Eukaryota, Metazoa, Chordata, Aves, Tinamiformes, Tinamidae. The record is from RefSeq and is a predicted model, not a curated record.